This 510-nucleotide ribosomal RNA is filed under the name uncultured bacterium. RNAcentral's name for it is "partial 16S ribosomal RNA". It matches the Rfam family "Bacterial small subunit ribosomal RNA", at positions 28 to 507 of the family's 1533-position model. The record is from RNAcentral.
GACGAACGCUGGCGGCGUGCUUAACACAUGCAAGUCGAACGAACAGCGAUGGAAGCCUGCUUCUUUCACACGGAGUGGCGAGCGGGUGAGUAACGCGCAAUCAACCCGCCCUUCAGAGUGGGACAACAGAGGCAAACGACAGUUCUAACCGCAUACGAUCUAAACUCGGCAUUGAUGCAAGAAGGAAGGGGGGCUCUAUUUAUAGCCUAUCACUGAAGGCGGGGUGCGCGUCUGAUUAGCUAGGUGAAGGGGGAACGACGCACCAAAGGGAUAAUCAGUAGCCGGGCUGAGAGAGUGAGCGGCGACAUUGGGACUGAGACACGGCCCAGACUCCUACGGGAGGCGGCAGUGGAGAAACUUCCGCGAUGGAGGAGAGUCUGACGGGGAGACGCCGCGUGAGUGAGGAGGGCCUCCGGGUUGUGAAGAGCUGUUUUGCGGGAGGAGAACACUUCAUGCGAAAAGUUAGAAGGAUUGACGGUAACGGAACAAGAAGCCACGGCUAACCACGUG